UACGGGGGGGCAAGCGUUGUUCGGAAUUACUGGGCGUAAAGGGCUCGUAGGUGGCCAACUAAGUCGGACGUGAAAUCCCUCAGCUUAACUGGGGAACUGCGUCCGAUACUGGAUGGCUUGAGUUUGGGAGAGGGAUGCGGAAUUCCAGGUGUAGCGGUGAAAUGCGUAGAUAUCUGGAGGAACACCGGUGGCGAAGGCGGCAUCCUGGACCAACACUGACACUGAGGAGCGAAAGCCAGGGGAGCAAACGGG
RNAcentral lists this ribosomal RNA (252 nucleotides) under uncultured bacterium. Its description in RNAcentral is "partial 16S ribosomal RNA". It matches the Rfam family "Bacterial small subunit ribosomal RNA", at positions 524 to 776 of the family's 1533-position model. The record is from RNAcentral.